GAUAAAGGAGAUUCACAGGGCCCAUUGGACAGGUGUAUGAAAGAGGACACACAUGGAGGAAUCUGAUUCCUAAGACAUUGUGUACUUGUAGCAUAAAUAAUUUUGUAAAUAUAUUCUAUGAACCUUAAAGUAUUGUAUACUUUGAACUACCACAUAAAAAUACCAGAAAAAAUGUACACAUUUUAUUGAUUCACAUUUAAAUGCAUUUCCCUUUGAGGAAACUGAGCAUCUGUACUUAAAAAAGUCCAUUGCUUUCUCUGAAGUGUUCUGAAUGGAUGUUGCCGAGCAGUCCCUCAGAUGAUUAUUGGAAAACAAUUGUCAGUUCUAAAGUUCUCAUUUCUAUUUUAAGUGGUCCUCCAAAGCAUAUCUUGCAGGACUAUCUAUAGUAACUGAUGAUAAAGUUCAUAGUUUUAGUGCAAAGUUACUAUAUAUAGCCUUGCCUAUAUGCUGCAAGAACGCAGAUUUAACUGCUGGUUCUCUCCACAGGUGUGUUCCCCUGCACAUUUGCGACAGCAGUCAGAAGAUCUGUACGCUGUCAUAGACGAAGUGUUAGAGGACCCCAUUCCAAUGCGCAAAACAUCCCCUGCCCUCGCAUAUCCCAGGGAAUCAAAGGAAAAGGUGCACCAAAGGCAACUUACAACCUACAACCAUCUGCCACUGUUGAGAGAGAACCUCCAGAUCCAUAAAAAGGUCAUUGGGACAUGAAACUAAAUAUGUGAGUAUACAUUUUUGUUUUGUUCCCUUAGUAAUAAACUACACAUAUCCCAAAAUAAAUGAGAAUGCUUGCUAUUGUGCAUCUGGAAGAAGAAGAAAAACGUUCCAGGCGCUUCAAAAAGAUAAAUCUGGUGGCCACAUUGGAAAGCACCAUAACUUUGCUGAUGACUAAUUACUGUGUCUGUAAUUGAAUAACUAAACAAUGUAUUAUUCACUCCUUCUGAUACUGUAAUGAGGUGUUCUUUGUUGUGAUGUUCUCAUUUCUCAUAUGCAAAAUAUCCUGACAAAGAUUGCUCUAGGAUAGUUUUAGACAUACCCUGUGCAUUCAGAAAGUAUUCGCACCUCUUGACUUGUCCCACAUUUUGUUGUGCUACAGCUUGAAUUUAAAAUAGAUUCAAUUUCAAUCCAGCUCUUAGAGACUUACCCAGAAAGACUCAGCUGUAAUCACUGUCAAAGGUGCUUCUACUAAGUAUUGACUCAGGGGUGUGAAUACUUAUGUAAAUUAUAUAUUUCUGUAUUUCAUUUUUAAUAAAAUGUGCAAACAUAUCUAAAAACAUACAUUUACUUUGUCAUUAUGGGAUAUUGUGUGUAGAUGGAUGAGAAAAAAAUUGAGUUAAUCCAUUUUGAAUUCAGGCUGUUACACAACAAAAUGUGGAAUAAAUCAAGGGGUGUGAAUACUUUCUGAAGGAAAGGUACUUAAAAAUAAUUACAGGCAACAUACAACCUACAACCAUCUGCAACUAUUGAGAGAGAACUACCAGAUCCAUAUAAGGUAUUCUAUUGCAAAUAUGUCAAAUCUGUUUAAACUCUGUAAUGCUAAUGAAUGCACAUAUGCUUUCUGAUUCAUUUAUUAAGUGUAUAUUACAGACCAAGCCUGGGGUAAUUCGACCUGCUAAUAUUAUCCCAAGAUUACCAGAGGAAGAUAAUGAAGCAUUUCAUCCAAACCCCUUCAAGCAAUAUCUGAAUGAGCUGACUGUCAAUAACAAGAACAAGGUCUACUCACCCCAUUGUGACAAUCCAUGAGAAUGAGGUGCUGAUGUCCAAUAAGCUUGAAAACACACUUUUGGAAAAGAUGGAGACAAAUGGCAACAUAAUCUCUGGCAACCUGGCCUUGAACACAGAGAGAAACAGCGUGAAAAACUCAACCAAAGAGGAAAAAACCUCUCAAUCUCCCCACUGAUUAUUACUGAAUCUGAGUACCCGAAUGCUAACCCUGCAAAAGAUGGAACCUGGCAAGGUGAUGCGACCUCUUUCAACACUACCAAGGUGAAGAUGGAAGCCUUUGAGACACACAUUUAAAUUGUUGGUGACAUAUCAAAAGGGGGUAGAGAGUCAUUCCCUCUAGUAUUGACAAAGAGGACUUGAGGCUGUUUCAUCAUUAUUGACAAAUGUGACAAUAUGCAAUAAAUUCAACCGCUUUUGUUAUUGUAUAAACAUUUAUGAAAGGCAACAUUUUCUGGAUAUUCUAAAACUGUGAGGAAAGACAAUAUAUACUGUAAGUACAUACUGGAUGAAUUGAGUUAUUCUGAACUGAUUGAUAGUAUUAGUUAAUCAUUCUGAUUUGUAAUGAAUAAAACAUUUUGUAACCUUUAAGUUUGUUUGAUCACUGAUAUUGUUUAUAUAUGUGAAUAAACAUGUUAUAAUACAUAAUGCAAGUA
Molecule: non-coding RNA, 2372 nt
Organism: Salmo salar (Atlantic salmon)
Lineage: Eukaryota; Metazoa; Chordata; Actinopteri; Salmoniformes; Salmonidae
Source: RefSeq, a predicted model, not a curated record